CACCCAGGUGCCCCAAUUCAACAAAUUCUUAUCGGGCACCUGGCCGCCGUGCAGCCUCUGCCCACAUGAUCCACGGCCGUGAAAUGGACCUGAUGUCAGAGUGGCCGGAACCGACUGCCAUAAUGCUGCCUCUCAGCCCGUUUGCUGUCAGUGGGGAGCAAAGGAACACAGGCGUGGAGAGAAGAGGAAGGGGACACUGCCACGAAGAAGUCUGCCCCCAUCUCCCCAGCCAGGCUGGGAUCUCCCCCCGUCCCGGGUAGUUGCUCUGCACCCCUUCAGCAUGGACCCCAACCAGCCCGGCUUGGUCUCUGUACCCCACCCCUGCUUCCUGUCCAUCUCCCCUUGGCCCCGCUCAGCACCAACUCCAGGACAGCCACCGACUGAGACCCAUGCUGCCUUUGGAGUCCUGUGGACCCUUCUGUGAAGCCCAGCCCUGCCUCAGAGCAGCUCCGUGACCUCAGUAAGAGGCUCCACCUCUCUGAGCCUCCUUCCUUCCCUAUAGUAGCAGGGUUAGCAGCUGGCCCCAAAGUCUGAUUCUGACCCCCCUCGCCCACUUACUGCUGUGGCCCCCUGAAAAAGUAACUCAGCCUCCCUAGACUCAGUCUCCUCAUCUGUAAAAUGGGGACCGCAACUGCACCUCAGUGAUUUGAGAAUUCACUGAGAAAAUACACAAACAAUGCUCAGAGCAGUGAGUGGGACAUAGCAAACGUUCCAGGUGUUUUGGCCACGGUUAUUAUGAUCCUGGCCUCUUAGGACGGCUGCAGUGUGCAAGGUCCUGCCCCAGGGACCCCAGCCCCAAAUGCCAGGUUGGCAGCCCCACAUACAGCCUGGUCUCUGUCCCUCCCACCACCAGCCCGUUGGACUGGGCACUCUGCUUUGCAUGCCUCCCCUCCACCCAUCAUGGACACGGUGUGUGCUGAUGUCUGUUGAGCAAACGAAACAAAAGACGGAAUGCAUAAAAAGAAGGCCGAGCGGGUGAAAUGCAGGGUCUGCUCGUUGGGUCACCAUUCAUUCAUUUAUUCAGCUACGACCUGCUGAGCACCUGCUGUUGGAGGCGCCGGAGAUCCAGCAGCAAACACAACAGGGAAAACGGCUGCCAGGGUAGAGGGGACACUCUCCUAGGGGAGCCAGACCCCAAAGGAAAUGAACAGUGACACAGAGAGAGUGCUGGUUCAUGAUAAAUGCCAGAAAAACACGUCCAGCAGGGAGAGGGAGGGGGGUACUGGAGAGGCUGUCAGCCAGGGAGGCCCCGCAGAGAAGGGGCUAUCUGAGCAAAGAUUUAAAGGAGGUGGGGCCGGGCGCCUGGGCGGCUCCUACGAUUAAGCUUCCAACUUAG
Hyaena hyaena (striped hyena) is the source of this 1336-nucleotide long non-coding RNA. RefSeq lists it as uncharacterized. NCBI's taxonomy places the organism in Eukaryota, Metazoa, Chordata, Mammalia, Carnivora, Hyaenidae. The record is from RefSeq and is a predicted model, not a curated record. The transcript is spliced from 3 exons.